Non-coding RNA from Hordeum vulgare subsp. vulgare (domesticated barley), 135 nucleotides. The record is from Rfam. Lineage: Eukaryota; Viridiplantae; Streptophyta; Magnoliopsida; Poales; Poaceae.
AAUAUACCCCACCUGUCCGAAAUUACUUGUCGCACGAAUGGAUAAAAUUAGAUGUAUCUAGAACUAAAAUANNNCUAGAUACAUCCAUUCUUGUGACAAGAAAUGACAGGUAUUUCCGGAUGGAGGGAGUACAAC